GGAGAACCUUGUUCAACCAACACAGGAUCAGAUUGCUGCAGACCAUUAUCCAGGUGAGGAAAGGGUAAUUUGUCAUCAGGAUCUGAGUCCUCACCAUCAAAUACGAUAUCAAUCCCCUGAAGAUCAUCAUCAAGGUCAGUCUUUAACUGCUUAGGUUUGCUUAACUUCUCCAAGUCUGUGUCAUUUGCAGGAACCCCACCCUUCACUUGGGAUGCAG
Molecule: unclassified non-coding RNA, 217 nt
Filed under: Hevea brasiliensis (rubber tree)
Lineage: Eukaryota; Viridiplantae; Streptophyta; Magnoliopsida; Malpighiales; Euphorbiaceae
Source: RNAcentral